RNAcentral lists this ribosomal RNA (684 nucleotides) under uncultured beta proteobacterium. RNAcentral's name for it is "bacterial SSU rRNA". It matches the Rfam family "Bacterial small subunit ribosomal RNA", at positions 378 to 1053 of the family's 1533-position model. Lineage: Bacteria; Pseudomonadati; Pseudomonadota; Betaproteobacteria. The record is from RNAcentral.
AAACCCUGAUCCAGCAAUGCCGCGUGUGUGAAGAAGGCCUUCAGGUUGUAAAAGCACUUUGUCCGGAAAGAAAACUUCUGCCCUAAUACGGUGGGAGGAUGACGGUACCGGAAGAAUAAGCACCGGCUAACUACGUGCCAGCAGCCGCGGUAAUACGUAGGGUGCGAGCGUUAAUCGGAAUUACUGGGCGUAAAGCGUGCGCAGGCGGUUCGUUAAGACAGAUGUGAAAUCCCCGGGCUUAACCUGGGAACUGCAUUUGUGACUGGCGAGCUAGAGUAUGGCAGAGGGGGGUAGAAUUCCACGUGUAGCAGUGAAAUGCGUAGAGAUGUGGAGGAAUACCGAUGGCGAAGGCAGCCCCCUGGGCCAAUACUGACGCUCAUGCACGAAAGCGUGGGGAGCAAACAGGAUUAGAUACCCUGGUAGUCCACGCCCUAAACGAUGUCAACUAGUUGUUGGGGAUUCAUUUCCUUAGUAACGUAGCUAACGCGUGAAGUUGACCGCCUGGGGAGUACGGUCGCAAGAUUAAAACUCAAAGGAAUUGACGGGGACCCGCACAAGCGGUGGAUGAUGUGGAUUAAUUCGAUGCAACGCGAAAAACCUUACCUACCCUUGACAUGGUCGGAACCCUGCUGAAAGGUGGGGGUGCUCGAAAGAGAACCGAUACACAGGUGCUGCAUGGCUGUC